Molecule: ribosomal RNA, 460 nt
Filed under: uncultured bacterium
Lineage: Bacteria
Description: partial 16S ribosomal RNA
Rfam family: Bacterial small subunit ribosomal RNA
Source: RNAcentral
CCUACGGGAGGCAGCAGUGAGGAAUAUUGGUCAAUGGCCGUAAGCCUGAACCAGCCAAGUCGCGUGAAGGAAGAAGGAUCUAUGGUUUGUAAACUUCUUUUAUAGGGGAAUAAAGGUAUCCACGUGUGGAUAUUUGCAUGUACCCUAUGAAUAAGCAUCGGCUAACUCCGUGCCAGCAGCCGCGGUAAUACGGAGGAUGCGAGCGUUAUCCGGAUUUAUUGGGUUUAAAGGGUGCGUAGGGUGUUUUUUAAGUCAGCGGUGAAAGUUUGUGGCUCAACCAUAAAAUUGCCGUUGAAACUGGAAGACUUGAGUGUGUUUGAGGUAGGCAGAAUGCGUGGUGUAGCGGUGAAAUGCAUAGAUAUCACGAAGAACUCCGAUUGCGAAGGCAGCUUACUAAGCCAUAACUGACACUGAAGCACGAAAGCGUGGGGAUCAAACAGGAUUAGAUACCCCUGUAGUC